Non-coding RNA from Dyadobacter psychrophilus, 36 nucleotides. The record is from Rfam. Lineage: Bacteria; Pseudomonadati; Bacteroidota; Cytophagia; Cytophagales; Spirosomataceae.
UCAGGGCAUUUCUGAAAACCUGUAAAAGAGUAGGAA